AUACGUAGGUGACAAGCGUUAUCCGGAUUUACUGGGCGUAAAGGGCGUGUAGGCGGUCUUGCAAGUCAGAAGUGAAAUUCCUGAGCUCAACUCGGGCGCUGCUUCUGAAACUGCAGGACUUGAGUGCUGGAGGGGAUAGCGGAAUUCCUAGUGGAGCGGUAAAAUGCGCAGAUAUCUGGAAGAACACCGAUGGCGAAGGCAGGCAUCUGGCCGGAGACUGACGCUGAGGCGCGAAGGCGCGGGGAGCGAACAGGUUUAGAUACCCUGGUAGUCCGCGCAGUAAACGAUGCGCACCAGGUGUCGGGCGGCAGCGCCCGGUACCGGAGCUAACGCGAUGAGUGCGCCGCCUGGGGAGUAUGCCCGCAAGGGUGAAACUCAAAUGAAUUGACGGGG
This 393-nucleotide ribosomal RNA is filed under the name uncultured bacterium. RNAcentral's name for it is "partial 16S ribosomal RNA". It matches the Rfam family "Bacterial small subunit ribosomal RNA", at positions 523 to 918 of the family's 1533-position model. The record is from RNAcentral.